Molecule: small nuclear RNA, 160 nt
Organism: Mesocricetus auratus (golden hamster)
Lineage: Eukaryota; Metazoa; Chordata; Mammalia; Rodentia; Cricetidae
Gene: U1
Rfam family: U1 spliceosomal RNA
About the family: U1 is a small nuclear RNA (snRNA) component of the spliceosome (involved in pre-mRNA splicing). Its 5' end forms complementary base pairs with the 5' splice junction, thus defining the 5' donor site of an intron.
Source: Ensembl
UUACAUACCUUGAAGGAAAACAGCAAGAUCCCAAAGGUGUUUUUAGGAUGGAACUUAUCCAUUUGCACUGUUAAUGUGAUGACCACUGAAAUUUCCCUAAACUUAGAAGAUUCAACUACAUAAACUGUGGUGGGGAAUGCAGCAUUCAUGCUCUUCCUUA